UUGAUGUAUGUGUUUGUUACACCUUGAUGGAAUAAUAAAUAAAGAUGGCCGCAUGCAUCGAUUGAUGCAGAAACUGAGGGGUUUUAACCUCCUUGUCAAUCAAGCAUCGACUGAUCAUAUGUGCUUGUUAGACCUCAAUGGAAUAAUAAAUAAAGAUGCCCGCAUGCAUCGAUUGAUGCAGAGGCCGAGAGGUUUUAACCUCCUUGUCAAUCAAGCAUCGAUUGACCAACACCGGUGGAUCCGAUCACCGGUUGCACCGACGCAAUGGAUUCACGCCGGACCGACUCCGUCUUCGGCCGGGCAUAUGGAUUCAUGCCGGAUAGACUCGGUUCAGGAGGAGCAUCUAACAUAUAAACCCCGCUAGGGUACCCGCCUAGCGAGAGCACUUGCGAGCGCUAAUGCUUCUGGCCCGUUCGAUCUUUUCACUGUAGUGCGAUUUUACUUGGUGGCAUUUAGUCAACCGUUGGUUGUUUUGCACAUUUGCAGCAGCUCCACGAGAGAAUGACUGGUGGGACUGGUUAAAUGUAGGGUCCAUGCAAUCAGGUGGGUUUGCGUGUGAUUCUACGUACCAGAAAUAUGCAACCAGCGAGGUGUGCGGUGAAAACCUAGCCAAUCCUUUCCGUUCUCAAGCCCCGCACCCCCUCCUCCCUCGAGCCACCAGUCCCUCCGUCCUCGAGCCCCGCGUUCCCUCCUCCAAUGCUCUCCACCACCACCGCGCCUCUUCUUCUCCCUCGCCCCUCUCCUCCCCCGCUCUCGAAAUCCCAAGGCAUGGUCGCUGCCACCUCUCAUAUCUCUCUUCCCGCAGGACAACACCCCCACGUUCUUUCUUCUCUGCUGGGAGUUGUUGUUCCAGAUCCGGCGCAGGUCGCCGCCAUGUGAGAGCAGGGGGAUAUGGUGUUCAUGAUGGGCAUGGAGGAGCACAGCAGGACGACGAUGGGGCGAGGGAGCAGCGCAGCCAGGGCUCGAGUUGUUGUUCCAGAUCUGGCGAGGGAGCAGCGCAGCCAGGGCUCGAGUUGUUGUUCCAGAUCCGGCGCAGGUCACCGCCAUGUGAGAGCAGGGGGAUAUGGUGUUCAUGAUGGGCAUGGAGGAGCACAGCAGGACGACGAUGGGGGGAGGGAGCAGCGCAGCCAGGGCUCUAGGCGGUGCUUGCGUCACGCUGGCCAUCACUUCCCACAUCGUCACCAAUCUAGAUCUGAGAUAGAAAAGAAGAACAAGGUGAAUCCUCUUUCUCACACAGCCAUGUUUGUCCCCACAUUUUAGUUUUGAUCUUAUGGUUUACUGUAUCCAUAUGUUUGUAUUCAACUUCCUUGAACAGUCUAUUUCUUGCACUAGAAUCAUCCUAUGGGGAUUCCAAUUUCUCAAUUUAUGGUUUUCCAUAUUUUAGACAGAACAGAAGAGAAAGAAUAUUGUGGAAGAGUUUGAUAAAGAAAAAGGAACUUUUCUAAGGUUUCGCAUGCUCCGUCUACAUCACAAGUGGUCUUCCGAUUGUGUCGAGUGCAUCACAAAGGCGCAGGCCAAAAUCUGACAAGAUGCAAAGGCACAUAUCGAGUAUGUACCACAGUCAAAGGGAUUCAGUUCAGUUAUUAAGAUUUCAUUGCAUCUGAAUUACUUAUCAUAUGGUUUUUAAUGAGUUGGAGGAGGCCUUGGUUCUACCAUUUGAAAAAAAAUCUCUAGGUGUGGGCAUACGUCA
Triticum aestivum (bread wheat) is the source of this 1690-nucleotide long non-coding RNA. RefSeq lists it as uncharacterized. The record is from RefSeq and is a predicted model, not a curated record. The transcript is spliced from 3 exons. NCBI's taxonomy places the organism in Eukaryota, Viridiplantae, Streptophyta, Magnoliopsida, Poales, Poaceae.